UGCCGCAUGGCUUAGUUGGCUAUAGCGUCCGACUGUUAAUCGGAAGGUCGAGAGUUCGAGCCUCUCUGGGGCAG
RNAcentral lists this transfer RNA (74 nucleotides) under Sphaerobolus stellatus SS14. RNAcentral describes it as "tRNA-Asn (GTT) (tRNA-Asn-GTT-5-1)". It matches the Rfam family "tRNA". From Rfam's summary of the family: Transfer RNA (tRNA) molecules are approximately 80 nucleotides in length. Their secondary structure includes four short double-helical elements and three loops (D, anti-codon, and T loops). The record is from RNAcentral. Lineage: Eukaryota; Fungi; Basidiomycota; Agaricomycetes; Geastrales; Sphaerobolaceae.